Molecule: ribosomal RNA, 406 nt
Filed under: uncultured bacterium
Lineage: Bacteria
Description: partial 16S ribosomal RNA
Rfam family: Bacterial small subunit ribosomal RNA
Source: RNAcentral
AUUGAACGCUGGCGGCAGGCCUAACACAUGCAAGUCGAGCGAGCGGCGGACGGGUGAGUAAUGUCUGGGAAACUGCCUGAUGGAGGGGGAUAACUACUGGAAACGGUGGCUAAUACCGCAUACCAUCGGAUGUACCCAUAUGGGAUUAGCUAGUGGGUGGGGUAAAGGCUCACCUAGGCGACGAUCCCUAGCUGGUCUGAGAGGAUGACCAGCCACACUGGAACUGAGACACGGCCCAGACUCCUACGGGAGGCAGCAGUGGGGAAUAUUGCACAAUGGGCGCAAGCCUGAUGCAGCCAUGCCGCGUGUAUGAAGAAGGCCUUCGGGUUGUAAAGUACUUUCAGCGGGGAGGCGUUACCCGCAGAAGAAGCACCGGCUAACUCCGUGCCAGCAGCCGCGGUAAUUC